GAUGAACGCUGGCGGCGUGCUUAACACAUGCAAGUCGAACGGAGAAGGCGGAGCUUGCUCUGCUGGAUCAGUGGCGAACGGGUGAGUAACACGUGAGCAAUCUGCCCCUGACCCUGGUAUAAGCGCGGGAAACGGCGUCUAAUACGGGGUACGCGCUGCUAAGGCAUCUUCAGCAGCUGGAAAGAAUUUCGGUCAGGGAUGGGCUCGCGGCCUAUCAGCUUGUGGGUGAGGUAAUGGCCCACCAAGGCGUGGAGGGGUGGCCGGCCUGGGGGGGUGACCGGCCACACUGGGCCUGAGAACCGGCCCGGACCCCUACGGGGGGCAGCAGUGGGGAAUUUUCAACAAUGGGCGAAAGCCGGAUCAAGCAACGCGGCGUGAGGGAGGAGGGCCUUCGGGUUUUAACCCUUUUUUCGCGGGGAAGAAGCGAAAGUGACGGUACCUACAGAAAAAGCGCCGGCUAACUACGCG
This 468-nucleotide ribosomal RNA is filed under the name uncultured bacterium. RNAcentral's name for it is "partial 16S ribosomal RNA". It matches the Rfam family "Bacterial small subunit ribosomal RNA", at positions 28 to 507 of the family's 1533-position model. The record is from RNAcentral.